CAAUUCUGGUUGAUCCUGCCAGAGGCCGCUGCUAUCCGGCUGGGACUAAGCCAUGCGAGUCAUGGGGCGUGGGCCGCUCUGCGGUUCACGCACCGGCGGACGGCUCAGUAACACGUGGCCAACCUGCCCUCGGGAGGGGGAUAACCCCGGGAAACUGGGGCUAAACCCCCAUAGGGGAUGGGUACUGGAAUGUCCCGUCUCCGAAAGUGCACGGUCACCGUAAGGUACCGUGCAGCCCGAGGAUGGGGCUGCGGCGGAUUAGGUAGUUGGCGGGGUAACGGCCCGCCAAGCCGAAGAUCCGUACGGGCCAUGGGAGUGGGAGCCCGGAGAUGGACCCUGAGACAAGGGUCCAGGCCCUACGGGGCGCAGCAGGCGCGAAACCUCCGCAAUGCGGGAAACCGCGACGGGGCUAGCCGGAGUGCCCG
RNAcentral lists this ribosomal RNA (425 nucleotides) under Archaeoglobales archaeon. RNAcentral's name for it is "bacterial SSU rRNA". It matches the Rfam family "Archaeal small subunit ribosomal RNA", at positions 1 to 391 of the family's 1478-position model. Lineage: Archaea; Methanobacteriati; Methanobacteriota; Archaeoglobi; Archaeoglobales. The record is from RNAcentral.